GACGAACGCUGGCGGCGUGCCUAAUACAUGCAAGUCGAACGGUCUUUUCUAUGGAAGCUUGCUUCCGCUGAGAAGAUAGUGGCGAACGGGUGAGUAACACGUGGGUAACCUACCCAUCAGCGGGGGAUAACACUUGGAAACAGGUGCUAAUACCGCAUAAUUCUUUUCUUCGCCUGAAGGGAAGAUGAAAGACGCUUUUGCGUCACUGAUGGAUGGACCCGCGCUGCAUUAGCUAGUUGGUGGGGUAACGGCUCACCAAGGCCACGAUGCAUAGCCGACCUGAGAGGGU
Molecule: ribosomal RNA, 289 nt
Filed under: uncultured bacterium
Lineage: Bacteria
Description: partial 16S ribosomal RNA
Rfam family: Bacterial small subunit ribosomal RNA
Source: RNAcentral